AACGAACGCUGGCGGCAGGCCUAACACAUGCAAGUCGAGCGAGACCUUCGGGUCUAGCGGCGGACGGGUGAGUAACGCGUGGGAACGUUCCCUUUUCUACGGAAUAGCCUCGGGAAACUGAUCGUAAUACCGUAUACGCCCUUAUGGGGAAAGAUUUAUCGGAGAAGGAUCGGCCCGCGUUGGAUUAGGUUGUUGGUGGGGUGAUGGCCUACCAAGCCUACGUUCCAUAGCUGGUUUGAGAGCAGGAUCAGCCACACUGGGACUGAGACACGGCCCAGACUCCUACGGGAGGCUGGAGUAGGGAAUCUUAGACAAGGGGGGCAACUCUAAUCUAGCCACGCCGCGUGAGUGAGGAAGGCCUUAGGGUUGUAAAGCUCUUUCAGCUGGGAAGAUAAUGACGGUACCAGCAGAAGAAGCCCCGGCUAACUCCGUG
This 433-nucleotide ribosomal RNA is filed under the name uncultured bacterium. RNAcentral describes it as "partial 16S ribosomal RNA". It matches the Rfam family "Bacterial small subunit ribosomal RNA", at positions 29 to 507 of the family's 1533-position model. The record is from RNAcentral.